ACGCUGCGAUGGACUAACCAGGCAAGUCGUACGGAGAGUGGGAGAACUCACAGUCAGUGGCAAACGGGUGAGUAACGCGUGAAUAACCUGCCAUUGAGAAGGGGAUAACUGUCCGAAAGGAUAGCUAAUACCAUAUAUUGCCUUUUGUCACUAAGGCAAAAGGUGAAAGCGGGGCUGUCAAAGGCUUCGGCUCAAAAGAGGGGUUCGCGUCCUAUCAGGUAGUUGGUGGGGUAAUGGCCUACCAAGCCAAUGACGGGUAGCUGGUCUUAGAGGAUGAUCAGCCACAGUGGGACUGAGACACAGCCCGCACCCCUACGGGGGGCAGCAGAGGGGAAUCGUGGGCAAUGGGCGCAAGCCUGACCCCGCAAUGCCGCGUGAGAGAAGAAGCCCUUCGGGGUGUAAACCUCAGUCAGAUGGGAAGAUGAGACUAGGGGCUAAUACCUCCUGGUCUUGACGGUACCAUCAGAGAAAGGGACGGCUAACUACGUGCCAGCAGCCGCGGUAAU
Molecule: ribosomal RNA, 506 nt
Filed under: uncultured bacterium
Lineage: Bacteria
Description: bacterial SSU rRNA
Rfam family: Bacterial small subunit ribosomal RNA
Source: RNAcentral